Molecule: ribosomal RNA, 200 nt
Filed under: uncultured bacterium
Lineage: Bacteria
Description: partial 16S ribosomal RNA
Rfam family: Bacterial small subunit ribosomal RNA
Source: RNAcentral
AGAGUUUGAUCCUGGCUCAGGACGAACGCUGGCGGCGUGCUUAACACAUGCAAGUCGAACGAUGAAGCCUUUCGGGGUGGAUUAGUGGCGAACGGGUGAGUAACACGUGGGCAAUCUGCCUGCACUCUGGGACAAGCCCUGGAAACGGGGUCUAAUACCGGAUAGCACCUUCUCCUGCAUGGGGGAGGGUUGAAAGCUCC